This 254-nucleotide ribosomal RNA is filed under the name uncultured bacterium. RNAcentral describes it as "partial 16S ribosomal RNA". It matches the Rfam family "Bacterial small subunit ribosomal RNA", at positions 524 to 776 of the family's 1533-position model. The record is from RNAcentral.
UACGAAGGGGGCUAGCGUUGCUCGGAAUCACUGGGCGUAAAGCGCACGUAGGCGGCCUUUCUAAGUCAGGGGUGAAAUCCUGGAGCUCAACUCCAGAACUGCCUUUGAUACUGGAGAGCUUGAGUCCGGAAGAGGUGAGUGGAACUCCGAGUGUAGAGGUGAAAUUCGUAGAUAUUCGGAAGAACACCAGUGGCGAAGGCGGCUCACUGGUCCGGUACUGACGCUGAGGUGCGAAAGCGUGGGGAGCAAACAGG